RNAcentral lists this ribosomal RNA (394 nucleotides) under uncultured bacterium. RNAcentral's name for it is "partial 16S ribosomal RNA". It matches the Rfam family "Bacterial small subunit ribosomal RNA", at positions 338 to 729 of the family's 1533-position model. The record is from RNAcentral.
CCUACGGGUGGCAGCAGUGAGGAAUAUUGGUCAAUGGGCGCGAGCCUGAACCAGCCAAGUAGCGUGAAGGAUGACUGCCCUACGGGUUGUAAACUUCUUUUAUAAAGGAAUAAAGUGAGGCACGUGUGCCUCUUUGUAUGUACUUUAUGAAUAAGGAUCGGCUAACUCCGUGCCAGCAGCCGCGGUAAUACGGAGGAUCCGAGCGUUAUCCGGAUUUAUUGGGUUUAAAGGGUGCGUAGGUGGGUUGUUAAGUCAGUUGUGAAAGUUUGCGGCUCAACCGUAAAAUUGCAAUUGAUACUGGGAGUCUUGAGUACAUGUGAGGUAGGCGGAAUUCGUGGUGUAGCGGUGAAAUGCUUAGAUAUCACGAAGAACUCCGAUUGCGAAGGCAGCUUAC